GCGUAAGAACCUACCCUUAGGAGGGGACAACAAUUGGAAACGAUUGCUAAUACCCACUAAGCUGAGGAGUAAAACGGUAACAACCGCCUAGGGAUGGGCUUGCGUCUGAUUAGCUAGUUGGUGAGGUAAAUGCUUACCAAGGCAACGAUCAGUAGUUGGUCUGAGAGGAUGACCAGCCACACUGGGACUGAGACACGGCCCAGACUCCUACGGGAGGCAGCAGUGAGGAAUUUUCCGCAAUGGGCGAAAGCCUGACGGAGCAAUGCCGCGUGGAGGAUUCAGGCCUGUGGGUUGUAAACU
This 300-nucleotide ribosomal RNA is filed under the name uncultured cyanobacterium. RNAcentral describes it as "bacterial SSU rRNA". It matches the Rfam family "Bacterial small subunit ribosomal RNA", at positions 115 to 431 of the family's 1533-position model. Lineage: Bacteria; Bacillati; Cyanobacteriota. The record is from RNAcentral.